Molecule: ribosomal RNA, 408 nt
Filed under: uncultured bacterium
Lineage: Bacteria
Description: partial 16S ribosomal RNA
Rfam family: Bacterial small subunit ribosomal RNA
Source: RNAcentral
GACGAACGCUGGCGGCGUGCUUAACACAUGCAAGUCGAACGAAGUGGCGAACGGGUGAGUAACGCGUAAUCAACCUGCCCUUCAGAGGGGGAUAACAGUUGGAAACGACUGCUAAUACCGCAUACUGAAGGAGGGGAAUGCGGCUGAUUCGCUAGUCGGAGAGGUAACGGCCCACCAAGGCGCUGAUCAGUAGCCGGGCUGAUAGGAUGAACGACCACAUUGGGACUGAGACACGGCCCAGACUCCUACGGGGGGCAGCCGUGGGGAAUCUUCCGCAAUGGACGAAAGUCUGACGGAGCAACGCCGCGUGAGUGAUGACGGCCUUCGGGUUGUAAAGCUCUGUUAAUCGGGACGCGGUACCGGAAUAGAAAGCCACGGCUAACUACGUGCCAGCAGCCGCGGUAAUAC